CAGUAGCCACGGUAAUACGGAGGGGGCUAGCGUUGUUCUGAAUUACUGGGCGUAAAGCGCACGUAGGCGGCUUGGUAAGUUAGAGGUGAAAGCCUGGAGCUCAACUCCAGAAUUGCCUUUAAGACUGCCGAGCUAGCAGGUGAGAGAGGUAAGUGGAAUUCCGAGUGUAGAGGUGAAAUUCGUAGAUAUUCGGAAGAACACCAGUGGCGAAGGCGGCUUACUGGCUCAUACUGGACGCUGAGAUGCGAAAGCGUGGGGAGCAAACAGGAUUAGAUACCCCCGUAGUCCCUGUCUCUUAUAC
This 301-nucleotide ribosomal RNA is filed under the name uncultured bacterium. RNAcentral's name for it is "partial 16S ribosomal RNA". It matches the Rfam family "Bacterial small subunit ribosomal RNA", at positions 509 to 807 of the family's 1533-position model. The record is from RNAcentral.